AUAACCUGCCUCAUACAGGGGGAUAACAGUUAGAAAUGACUGCUAAUACCGCAUAAGCGCACAGAGAUGCAUGUCUCGGUGUGAAAAGCUGAGGCGGUAUGAGAUGGAUCCGCGCUGAUUAGCUGGUUGGCGGGGUAGAGGCCCACCAAGGCGACGAUCAGUAGCCGACCUGAGAGGGUGGCCGGCCACAUUGGGACUGAGACACGGCCCAAACUCCUACGGAAGGCAGCAG
This 232-nucleotide ribosomal RNA is filed under the name uncultured bacterium. RNAcentral describes it as "partial 16S ribosomal RNA". It matches the Rfam family "Bacterial small subunit ribosomal RNA", at positions 121 to 354 of the family's 1533-position model. The record is from RNAcentral.